CAAGACCUUGCGCUUUUGGAGCGGCCGAUGCCUGAUUAGCUAGUUGGUGAGGUAAAGGCUUACCAAGGCUUCGAUCAGUAGCUGGUCUGAGAGGACGACCAGCCACACUGGGACUGAGACACGGCCCAGACUCCUACGGGAGGCAGCAGUGGGGAACUCCGGACAAUGGGGGGGGGCCUGAUUCGGCCAUGCCGCGUGAGUGAAGAAGGCCUUCGGGUUGUAAAGCUCUUUCAGCCGGAACGAAAAGGUCACGGCUAAUACCUGUGAUCACUGACGGUACCGGAAGAAGAAGCACCGGCUAACUACGUGCCAGCAGCCGCGGUAAUACGUAGGGUGCAAGCGUUAAUCGGAAUUACUGGGCGUAAAGCGUGAGCAGGCGGUUUUGUAAGUCAGAUGUGAAAUCCCCGGGCUUAACCUGGGAACU
Molecule: ribosomal RNA, 424 nt
Filed under: uncultured Nitrosospira sp.
Lineage: Bacteria; Pseudomonadati; Pseudomonadota; Betaproteobacteria; Nitrosomonadales; Nitrosomonadaceae
Description: bacterial SSU rRNA
Rfam family: Bacterial small subunit ribosomal RNA
Source: RNAcentral